AUAUAUAUAUAUAUAUAUAUAGAACUAGGCCACUAUGCUAUUAAUAGCACAAAGUCAUUGGUGCUAUCAAGUUUUGGCCAUUGAAUUAAAAAAUGUGUGGUUAGGAUGAUAUGGGCCAUCUAGGGUUGAGCGGGUGGUUAGUUGAAUAGUAUAAUCUAACGGGUGAAAAUUAUCAAAAUGGUAGAUUUAACGGCAGAAAACUUGAUAGCACCAAGUGUUUUGUACUAUUAAUAGUAUAGUAGCCGGACUCUAUAUAUAUACACACACACAUCCAAACUGA
This 280-nucleotide long non-coding RNA is filed under the name Ananas comosus (pineapple). RNAcentral's name for it is "long non-coding RNA (ACOM_LNC006481)". Lineage: Eukaryota; Viridiplantae; Streptophyta; Magnoliopsida; Poales; Bromeliaceae. The record is from RNAcentral.